RNAcentral lists this transfer RNA (87 nucleotides) under Nitrospirota bacterium. Its description in RNAcentral is "Nitrospirae bacterium (sediment metagenome) tRNA-Ser". It matches the Rfam family "tRNA". Rfam says of the family: Transfer RNA (tRNA) molecules are approximately 80 nucleotides in length. Lineage: Bacteria; Pseudomonadati; Nitrospirota. The record is from RNAcentral.
GGAGACAGUCCGGUUGGUCGAGGGGCAUGUUUCGAGAACAUGUAAAGCUGAAAGGCUCCAGAGGUUCGAUUCCUCUUGUCUCCGCCA